Molecule: long non-coding RNA, 383 nt
Filed under: Struthio camelus australis
Lineage: Eukaryota; Metazoa; Chordata; Aves; Struthioniformes; Struthionidae
Description: lncRNA (ENSSCUG00000009432.1)
Source: RNAcentral
GCUACAGGACUAUAGGUGAUUCGACUCCAAGGAAGUGUUAGCAACUGUCAUAUGAAGAGCACUGUUACUUGCCAGCCUCUAGCAUAAGAGUCUUAGAAAUGAGGAAUCCUCUUCUUUGUUCCAGUCUUUGGGAGUGGAAUGAAUUAUGGCGCCUGGGACAGUAGUUACAGAUGAUGUAGCCAAAUGGAUAAGACACGCACUUUGAAAGAUGGAAAAGUGACAGAGAGGGGAGGUUAAGUUUCCUGCUUCCAGAAGUCACCAGUCACAAUACCAGGAGUAUUUUUGAGUGGCUCAGAACCAGAAAAAGAUAUGGGAGGGAAAGAAAAUGAAGCCCUUGGCAGUCACAGAUCCCUAAUCUCCUGAAUCUUGUUUCGUGCCUCGGU